Gasterosteus aculeatus aculeatus (three-spined stickleback) is the source of this 670-nucleotide long non-coding RNA. The record is from Ensembl. Lineage: Eukaryota; Metazoa; Chordata; Actinopteri; Perciformes; Gasterosteidae.
AUCAGGAAGAAUUGUACGAAAAGCUACCAAAGAAGAUCAAUGCCAAGUUCAAAGAGUAAAAGUCUAGGAGCAGCUAUUAUCAGGGUGACUACGAUGGGUCGAGGCGGCUGGGCAGGAACGCUCUUUAUGUGGCUGUGGCCUCCAUCAUCAUCGGCCUUCUCAUCAUCGCCAUCUCCUGCAUCGUUCAUUUUACCGCUGGGGAUUUUUGAUGCUGUGGAGGUGGAGAGUGGGGGAGAACGCUGCAGGAUAAUAUGGGCUCAGCUGGUUCGUUCAUACUGCACCAUCUGCCAGCGAAAGGACUACGACGCCUGACGUUUACUUCCAUCUGUACAUCACUUUGUCUCGGGUUGAACAUUCUGCACGUGGACAAUCACACACUAUACAACAUGGUGAAUGUGAGCGUUUCAGGAAUGAACACCAACAAUGCUUUAAAUAUAAAAAGACAGCUUUCGACAAACGUUUUUGUCAGGCUUUGACUUUUAUUAGAAAGAUGCCUGUUGUAAUUUAUCAAGAAUAGUGACAAUAACUUGUCUAUAACUGAUCAGAAUACCUAUUAUAUAUAUUAAAAAUACUAUUUCUCCUUAAAUUAUGUUUAGUUUUAUUAGAAAAAAUUGAAUUGUUUAAUUCCACAACCUUUUGGUUGAUUGUUAUUAUAAUAUCUCAUUAAUAA